UAUGUGAUCGUCUCUCGCAUAUCAAUAAGCGGAGGAAAAGAAACUAACAAGGAUUCCCCUAGUAACGGCGAGUGAAGCGGGAAGAGCUCAAAUUUGAAAUCUUAAAGGGUUUCCCUUUACGAAUUGUAGUUUAAAGAAGUGUUUUCUGUUGAGGUUUUGGUAAAAGUUCUUUGGAAUAGGACAUCAUAGAGGGUGAGAAUCCCGUAUUUGACCUUUACUUUCAACUUUGUGAUACACUUUCAAAGAGUCGGAUUGUUUGGGAAUGCAGUCCAAAAUGGGUGGUAAAUUUCAUCUAAAGCUAAAUAUUGGCGAGAGACCGAUAGCGAACAAGUACCGUGAGGGAAAGAUGAAAAGAACUUUGAAAAGAGAGUUAAACAGUACGUGAAAUUGUCAAAAGGGAAGCGUUUGACACCAGUGUUGUUUUUCUGAAAAUCAAUUAAAGAACUGUUUAUGCUAAGUUGUUUAGACUUUAUCAGCUAAUCUGCUUAGUUUUGAGCUUUUCUUUAAUGCACUUUUCAGUUAACAAGUCAACAUCAAUUUCUUUUGCUGUAAAAAAGCUUGAGGAAGGUGGCUUGAGAUUCGUCUUAAGUGUUUAUAGCCUCUUGCCUAUGCAGUCGGAGAGAUUGAGGUCUGCAGCGUAGAUCCUUCGGGGCUAAAUGCAUUUGUGCUAAGUUAUAGCAUUUUAUAGACAACUUGUUGACUAUGAUUUGUCUUGUAGCUUACUCGCUUAUGUUAUUUUACCUACGCUUAGGAUGUUGAAGAUAUGCGCGACACG
This 775-nucleotide ribosomal RNA is filed under the name uncultured Neocallimastigales. Its description in RNAcentral is "partial large subunit ribosomal RNA". It matches the Rfam family "Eukaryotic large subunit ribosomal RNA", at positions 24 to 644 of the family's 3401-position model. The record is from RNAcentral. Lineage: Eukaryota; Fungi; Neocallimastigomycota; Neocallimastigomycetes; Neocallimastigales.